GAAUAACCUCACGCCCGUGAGGUUGAGCAGAUGUUAUGGGGGGCAUCUGCUCAAAAAGAAAAGCGGCC
This 68-nucleotide small RNA is filed under the name Prosthecochloris sp. GSB1. RNAcentral's name for it is "Chlorobium bathyomarinum Chlorobi-1 RNA". It matches the Rfam family "Chlorobi-1 RNA". Lineage: Bacteria; Pseudomonadati; Chlorobiota; Chlorobiia; Chlorobiales; Chlorobiaceae. The record is from Rfam by way of RNAcentral.